Long non-coding RNA from Podarcis raffonei (Aeolian wall lizard), 1010 nucleotides. RefSeq lists it as uncharacterized. The transcript has 2 exons. The record is from RefSeq and is a predicted model, not a curated record. NCBI's taxonomy places the organism in Eukaryota, Metazoa, Chordata, Lepidosauria, Squamata, Lacertidae.
AACUGCACCAAAAUCCCUAUUUUUCCUUAGCUAAAAUGCUUUAACUUGAGCUCUUGAGCCAAAAACCCAGCUGUAUAAACAAGUGCUCAGAGCCCUCUCGUUUAUCAGUUUGUGAUGGCAAGGAUGGCCUUGACUCUACCAGUAGAACAGGGAAGACACGUCUGUGCCUUAUCUUAUAUCCUGACCAUAAAGGUGCACAGACCUAGUCUGGGAACAGCGCCAGAGGGUGUUCUUGGAGAUGGUGACCUCUUGCUCCAAGAUAAGAGUAGGAACAGGAAGAUCCUUUUAUGGUCAGAAGUACAGGAAGGAAUACCCUUUUAUGGUUAAGAGUGUCGGAGCAGGAACAUCUGUGAUGUCAACCUGCAUGUACAAGCUGAUGUGGCUGGAUUCCUGGGGAAGGGGGAGAGGGUGUCUGGAGGAUAUAUAUACUGCAUGAAAUUUCUCAUUUCUUUGGACUUGCUGUGGACUGACCACGCAAUUGCCUUUCUGCUGUUCCGGAGAGCAGAAAUAAAGAACUCUUUCUCUGAACCAACCCUCGGUGUCAUUUGACUUCCUUCCUCCUGUCCGGGAGCAACGCAGACCCAAUCGGUGAACUCCAAUAAGGCUACAGAAUGACAAAAAAAGAACCCCAGACGGGAAUUAUUGUGUUUAUGCUGAGGCAUCAGCUCAUUAGCAUUUGGAAAGAGAGUACAUAAGAGAAUUCUGGGUGUCAGCCUGGGCUAAUGGCAGAUUGGUUGUGGCGCAGUUUAAAAUGCCCUGUGAACGGAAAACGACAGUGUUUAAGAUCUAGGACACAUAAAGGACUGACCCACCUGUUAAAUUAAAGGAUGGAUUAAUCUAUAGACCUAGGGGGAGAAUGACUCCUAACAUGGAAUGAGGAGAGUCAGUUAAAGCAUGGAUUUUCUACGAAUUUAUAAAGCUAGGUACCUUACCUGAGCUGUCAAGUCAAAAGGAUACAUUCAGGCCUAAUAUUUGUAACAUUGCAACAACUAUAAAGAUGUGCCUCCCCC